GCGCCACUAGUCCAGUGGUGAGGAUAUUUGCCUUCCAAGCAAAAGAGCGGGGUUCGAUUCCCCGGUGGCGCA
This is a transfer RNA of Gonium pectorale, 72 nucleotides long. It matches the Rfam family "tRNA". Rfam says of the family: Transfer RNA (tRNA) molecules are approximately 80 nucleotides in length. Their secondary structure includes four short double-helical elements and three loops (D, anti-codon, and T loops). Lineage: Eukaryota; Viridiplantae; Chlorophyta; Chlorophyceae; Chlamydomonadales; Volvocaceae. The record is from Rfam.